This 3143-nucleotide long non-coding RNA is filed under the name Sus scrofa (pig). RNAcentral's name for it is "lncRNA (ENSSSCG00040050601.1)". Lineage: Eukaryota; Metazoa; Chordata; Mammalia; Artiodactyla; Suidae. The record is from RNAcentral.
UUUUUUUUUUUUCUUUUUUGUUUUUGCUUCUUUGUUUCUAUUAACCCAGGGAACCAAAAUGAUCAUCACAAAAUUGACCUGAGGAAUUUAUACUUUUCUUCUUCCCUCCUUUGAGUCUGGGUCUCUCUUCUCCUCCCUCCAGAUUUCAAAUUGGCUCCAGAUUUUAUAUGAGAAGCAGUAACAGAUCUAAAAGAAACAAACUGAGAAGGAAUUUAAGGAGCAAACUAACUGAUGAACUCUAAUCUGCUCGCUACAGGUUUGAGUGAAAAAUCCAUGCUAUGCUCAAGAAGAAUUCAGCCAUUCACAGAGGAGGUCAGGUCAGGCUGAUGUCUAUAUUUGGCAUCUCAAAAAAAAAAAAAAAUUACAUCAUUUAUACAUUCAACAUUUAGGGAACACUUUACCAAGAGUCUGGCUAGUUGUUACAGAUUAUCGAGUUGAAUAAAACAAGGCUUUUUCUGCCUCCAAGAUUCAAUUAGGUAACUGCCAACACCACCGCUCAUAUAUUUUCACACACCUGUCUUCUCACUGAAUCUGUAAUUUUUACUUAGGGCAAGAACAGUAUUCAUUUACAUAUGCUUAGUAAACACUAGCUGAUGAUUUACUAAAGGCUCCUGUGCUUUAUGAGUUCAUGGUGAAACAAAAGAGUUGAGCAUAUAAAUAGCAAAUUAAGAUUACAGGGUAAUACUGCUGCUACAGAGAAAAGAGCCAAAGCAUGGGGCCACAAAGGAAGCCUGCUGAGGCAGGGGUAGGCGUAACCGCAGAUGUGACACUGAAAUAAGAGUUGAAAGAUAAGGAGAACUCUAUCAGUGGAGGAAAAGUGAUAGUAGAGGGAAUUUCCUGCAGAGAAAACAGCAUGUACAAAAAUAACUAAUAGCUAAUAAUUAUCAAGGACUUUUUGGGAGUUCCCAUCGUGGCGCAGAGAAACGAAUCCGACUAGUAACCAUGAGGCUGCAGGUUUGAUCCCUGGCCUUGUUCAGUGGUUAAGGAUCUGGAGUUGCCAUGAGGUCGAAUAUGCGGCUCGGAUCCUGCAUUGCUGUGGCUGUGGUGUAGGCCGGCAGCUGUAGCUCCAAUCAACCCCUAGCCUGGGAACCUCCAUAGGCCAUGGGUGUGGCCUGAAAAAGCAUUAAAAAAAAAAAAAAAGAAUUAUAUGAAACAGGUUGAGAAUAUAUUAAGGAUUAAUUCAAUCAUAGUUAUUAUAUUUCAGAAAAGAAAUAGCAUAUAUGGAAUGCCUAUGCCAUAAAAUAAUUUUCAUAUAUUAUUUCAUCUCUACAGCAACCCGGUAGAGUAUAAAAACCCUAUGAUGCUAUCACUUUAAUCUUACAUUGAGGAAAAUGAGACUCAGAGGCAUUUAAGUAACUUGUCCAAGGUCACACAGGUAGCACUUAGCAGAGCCUGCUUUCAGACCAAGGUCUUUCUGAGUCCAAAGCCUCAGUCUCUGUUCUUUGCAGUUUACCUGCCUGCACCCCAGAUAAGUUCCAGUGUAGAAAAAAUAAGGAGGAAUCAGAUAUGCCCCAAAUGUCUGAGGUCAGUGUGAGGGACUAGAAAGGAAAGAUUGGAUCACAUUCACAUGUAGCUUGGGAUGUGUAUGAAAAAUGUUUGGAACAUGUGCAAGAUGAGGCAGGGGAGAAACCAAAAGGGAAGAAGACAGCCAACAGCAAAUGUCAUGCUCCUCAACUUCUCUUUCAGCUAAUAACACAAUAAUAGUAGAGAUGACUCAUAAUCAUAUUUCAGUCCUUGUGCUAGGAGUCUCCAAGGUAAAAAUCCCAUAUUGUAAUACCAGUGUGUUGUUUCCUCUUGAUCUUACUACCAUUAUGUCCCAGAAAAUGUUCCAAAACCUAACAGAGGAAGUUCAGAAAAAUCACAGGAAAUAUCUAAUCUCCUUUAUUCUAAGAAAUGGAAACAAACUCUUCAAGGUUAGUUCUUAUGUGCAUCAUUAGCAUCAAGGCAUGUUGGAAGAGGAUUCAGGUAACUAAUAAAGCAUAGAUGGCUUCAAAUCACCCUACAGAAAAACAAAAGCUCUUUCACAAUAACAUAACAAAAAAACUUGAUUUCUGGUGUUUUCCUCUGUCACACAGCUCCCCUAAACUUGGAACAAAUAGGCCUUUGCAUUCUCCAGUCAAUGCCCAGGAAACUUUCAUACUGUAAAUGUUUUGAGUCAUGCAGUCAGCAGUCAGGUUAGGCACAAGUAGAAAUGGCAGCACAGAAAACCAAACCAAACAAACAAACAAAACUCUCCUUGGAAUAAAAAGUUCUCAAGUGAGGCACCAUACCAAGUUCUCCCACCUGAUGCCACAAGGCUGUGAACCCAGAAAGAUGCAUAGUCCAGGCUUAGAACGCAAACUUGGAGAAAGAAAACAAAGAAGGGGUGGCUCAGCAGACUCUGAUAGGGAGUGAAAUAAUCCUGCCUGUUUAAAUUUAUAAGGACAGUUUGAAAUUCUCUACUAAUACAUCCAUCCUCUUGUGAACUUUUCCGAAGUAGAACUAAUGGCAUAGAAGUUAGCAGAUCUCACAGAAAACUCAUUCCUAAGGGACUACCUGUAAACUCAGAAGUUUCUGUCUUCACGUGAUCAAAUGCUCAGCAGAACCCCCUCUUGCUCACUCACCGGCACUCAAAGUGCUUUACCCCUCAGCACCAAAACCCCCUGUGCCCAGCCUUUCCUCUUCUCUUCUUGGCCCCAGAAAGGCCUCAGGCAAUAGAGCUGCGGGACCCGGGGGAGCACCCCUCCCCUCCCUGCCAUCCCCAUUAUUCGGCACACAGCCCUGUUCUCCCCUGGAGCCAACAGUCUGCAGCUCCUUCAAUGCAGGCGCGAGCAGGCAAGAAUAGUGGGAAGAGAAGCUGUGCCAGCUGCAUGUUUCAGAAUCUCCCUCCAUAUGCAUUUGCCAAAGGAACAAAAAGAAAAUCAACGCCAGGAAGACAACUGAGAUGAGGAUGCGGUGGGACCGCGGCUGACUCCGUGCCUCUUAGCAGCAAGAGGCUGGCCAACCACGCGUCCGAGCCAUAGAUGCGAGUGGUUACCUUCAGGAUGCAGGCCAUGGCGCUCCGCCGGCCCUCCUGCCACCAAGCAGCCGGCGCGCCUGGGUCAGGGGCAGUCCCGGCGGCAGGCUGGAGGCUGGUACCGCUGCAGGACCGCUCCAACCCACAU